Molecule: long non-coding RNA, 771 nt
Organism: Quercus robur (English oak)
Lineage: Eukaryota; Viridiplantae; Streptophyta; Magnoliopsida; Fagales; Fagaceae
Exons: 2
Source: RefSeq, a predicted model, not a curated record
CAUGAUGAUACAAUGAGGGACUAUGAUUUAUUUGUUAGUAAUGCGACUGCUAACAUAGGCCAAAGGAGUAGGGAUAUUAUAUCGGAGUUUGAACUUUAUACUAGUGAGAAAGUGGCACCUAGAACUGAACAAUUUGAUGUUUUGGGUUGGUGGAAGCGUAAUGCUAGUAAGUAUCCUACCUUGCAACGCAUUGCAAGGGAUAUUUUGGCUAUUCCUAUGACAACCGUUGCCUCAGAGUCGGCUUUUAGCACUAGUGGGAGAUUGUUGAGUCCACAUCGUAGCCGUCUUCAUCAUGAUACCUUAGAAGCAUUGAUGUGUGGGCAGAAUUGGUUAUGGAGCGAACUUAAAAGUGUAUUAAAAGAUGCUACCAUUCAAAACGUUCUUGAUGAUUAUGAAGAAGAUGAAUUGGAGGAAAGUCAUGCCAUGGAGCUUUCAGACUAAUGGAUAGGACCAAACUCAAGCAAACUGAGGUGGACUGUGAGUUCCUGAAGAAGUGCUGUGAAACACUGACUGAUGAAAAUAGAAGGCUACAAAAAGAGCUUCAAGAACUGAAAGCAUUGAAACUAGCCCAACCCUUGUAUAUGCAUAUGCCAGUGAACAUGAUGAUACAAUGAAGGAGCUAUUUGUCAACUCAAAGUUAUAAACUUCUUAUGCUUUCUUUUCUUAUUUGCAAUUUUUAUGUUUUGAUAUAUGAAUGUGUUAUGAAGUUUAGAUACGGUAUGACUCUAUUAUGAUAUAUAAAUGAAACUUUCUUGGUUUCCAUUUAUCACA